GAUGAAGAACGCAGCGAAAUGCGAUAAGUAAUGCGAAUUGCAGAAUUUCCGUGAGUCAUCGAAUCUUUGAACGCACAUUGCGCCCAUUGGUAUUCCGAUGGGCAUGCCUGUUCGAGCGUCAUUUGUACCUUCAAGCUCUGCUUGGUGUUGGGUGUUUGUCUCGCCUCUGCGUGUAGACUCGCCUCAAAACAAUUGGCAGCCGGCGUAUUGAUUUCGGAGCGCAGUACAUCUCGCGCUUUGCACUCAUAACGACGACGUCCAAAAGUACAUUUUUACACUCUUGACCUCGGAUCAGGUAGGGAUACCCGCUGAACUUAAGCAUAUCAAUAAGCGGAGGA
Molecule: unclassified non-coding RNA, 338 nt
Filed under: soil metagenome
Description: partial contains 5.8S ribosomal RNA, internal transcribed spacer 2, and large subunit ribosomal RNA
Rfam family: 5.8S ribosomal RNA (bases 1-121)
Source: RNAcentral